Molecule: ribosomal RNA, 295 nt
Filed under: uncultured bacterium
Lineage: Bacteria
Description: partial 16S ribosomal RNA
Rfam family: Bacterial small subunit ribosomal RNA
Source: RNAcentral
CUUAACACAUGCAAGUCGAACGAGAAAGUGGCUUCGGCCACGAGUAAAGUGGCGGACGGGUGCGUAACACGUGGGGAAUCUUCCUUCCGGCGGUGGAUAACAGUCCGAAAGGAUUGCUAAUACAGCAUACGUCGGCGAGGACUCCGGUUCUUGUCGGGAAAGGCGGCGCAAGCUGUCACCGGAAGACGACCCCGCGUCCCAUCAGCUAGUUGGUGAGGUAACGGCUCACCAAGGCUUAGACGGGUAGCUGGUCUGAGAGGAUGAUCAGCCACACUGGAACUGCGACACGGUCCAG